Molecule: ribosomal RNA, 443 nt
Filed under: uncultured Spirochaeta sp.
Lineage: Bacteria; Pseudomonadati; Spirochaetota; Spirochaetia; Spirochaetales; Spirochaetaceae
Description: bacterial SSU rRNA
Rfam family: Bacterial small subunit ribosomal RNA
Source: RNAcentral
CAUGUGGUUUAAUUCGAUGGUACGCGAGAAACCUUACCAGGGCUUGACAUACGCUGGAAGCGGUCCGAAAGGAUCGUGCCGCUUGCGGCCGGCGGUACAGGUGCUGCAUGGCUGUCGUCAGCUCGUGCUGUGAAGUGUGGGUUAAGUCCCGCAACGAGCGCAACCCUCGCUGUCUGUUGCCACCACGAGAGGUGGGGACUCAGGCGGAACUGCCGGUGACAAACCGGAGGAAGGUGGGGACGACGUCAAGUCAUCAUGGCCCUUAUGUCCUGGGCUACACACGUGCUACAAUGGCCGGUACAGAGCGCAGCGAGGCCGCGAGGCGGAGCGAAUCGCUUAAAGCCGGUCCCAGUACGGAUUGGAGUCUGCAACCCGACUCCAUGAAGUUGGAAUCGCUAGUAAUCGCGCAUCAGCAUGGCGCGGUGAAUACGUUCCCGGGCCUU